RNAcentral lists this ribosomal RNA (1454 nucleotides) under uncultured cyanobacterium. Its description in RNAcentral is "bacterial SSU rRNA". It matches the Rfam family "Bacterial small subunit ribosomal RNA". The record is from RNAcentral. Lineage: Bacteria; Bacillati; Cyanobacteriota. RNAcentral also lists the same sequence under 2 other names.
AAUUCACUAGUGAUUAGAGUUUGAUCGGUAAAAGGAUGAACGCUGGCGGCGUGCUUAACACAUGCAAGUCGAACGAACCUUCGGGUUAGUGGCGGACGGGUGAGUAACGCGUGGGAAUCUACCCUCAGGAGGGGGAUAACGGCUGGAAACGGCCGCUAAUACCCCAUAUGCCGAGAGGUGAAAUGAAUUUCGCCUGAGGAUGAGCCCGCGUCUGAUUAGCUAGUUGGUGUGGUAAUGGCUCACCAAGGCUUCGAUCAGUAGCUGGUCUGAGAGGAUGAUCAGCCACACUGGGACUGAGACACGGCCCAGACUCCUACGGGAGGCAGCAGUGGGGAAUUCUCCGCAAUGGGCGAAAGCCUGACGGAGCAACGCCGCGUGAGGGAUGAAGGCCUCUGGGCUGUAAACCUCUUUUCUCAAGGAAGAAGAUAUGACGGUACUUGAGGAAUAAGCCACGGCUAAUUCCGUGCCAGCAGCCGCGGUAAUACGGGAGUGGCAAGCGUUAUCCGGAAUUAUUGGGCGUAAAGCGUCCGCAGGCGGCCUCUCAAGUCUGCUGUUAAAACGUGGAGCUUAACUCCAUCAAGGCAGUGGAAACUGUUGGGCUUGAGUGUGGUAGGGGCAGAGGGAAUUCCCGGUGUAGCGGUGAAAUGCGUAGAUAUCGGGAAGAACACCAGUGGCGAAGGCGCUCUGCUGGGCCAUAACUGACGCUCAUGGACGAAAGCCAGGGGAGCGAAAGGGGAUUAGAUACCCCUGUAGUUCCUGGCCGUAAACGAUGAACACUAGUGUCGGGGGAAUCGACCCCCUCGGUGUCGUAGCCCAACGCGUUAAGUGUUCCGCCUGGGGAGUACGCACGCAAGUGUGAAACUCAAAGGAAUUGACGGGGGGCCCGCACAAGCGGGUGGGAGUAUGUGGUUUAAUUCGAUGCAACGCGAAGAACCUUACCAGGGUUUGACAUCCUGCGAACCUCUAAGAAAUUGGAGGGUGCCUUCGGGGAACGCAGUGACAGGUGGUGCAUGGCUGUCGUCAGCUCGUGUCGUGAGAUGUUGGGUUAAGUCCCGCAACGAGCGCAACCCACGUUUUUAGUUGCCAGCAUUCAGUUGGGCACUCUAGAGAGACCGCCGGUGAUAAACCGGAGGAAGGUGUGGAUGACGUCAAGUCAUCAUGCCCCUUACAUCCUGGGCUACACACGUACUACAAUGCUACGGACAAAGGGCAGCAAACUCGCGAGAGCUAGCAAAUCCCAUAAACCGUGGCUCAGUUCAGAUCGUAGGCUGCAACUCGCCUACGUGAAGGAGGAAUCGCUAGUAAUCGCAGGUCAGCAUACUGCGGUGAAUACGUUCCCGGGCCUUGUACACACCGCCCGUCACACCAUGGAAGUUGGCCACGCCCGAAGUCGUUACUCCAACCCUUGUGGAGGAGGACGCCGAUAAUGGGGCUGAUGACUGGGGUGAAGUCGU